This 3732-nucleotide long non-coding RNA is filed under the name Nicotiana tabacum (common tobacco). Its description in RNAcentral is "long non-coding RNA (NTAB_LNC011070)". Lineage: Eukaryota; Viridiplantae; Streptophyta; Magnoliopsida; Solanales; Solanaceae. The record is from RNAcentral.
UCGAUGAAUGAGAGCAAAUAAGUAAGAAGAAAAAUUAGUUUUGAAGAAAGAGAGAGAUAGAGAGAGAAGAACCUCUUAAUCUCUUGGUUUCCCGUGAGCCUUUUCAGGUGGUAAGCGAUCUUUAGUGUCGACGGCAGCGUGCUAUCUCGUCUAGGGCUUGUAUCAAACUUUAGGCUUUUUGUUCUUUGUAUAUGUGUUAGGACUUUUAGUUUUUCUUUUGUUUUUCCUUCAGGCGCUUAGUCUCCCUUCUGUAAAAAAAAAAAAAAGGCGCGAUAAAGUUAUAAGAGGGAAAAUGGGAAGGGAAAGCACAACCGACCCAGUAGUCCUUUUUUUUUUUUCAGAAACCGUCGCCAAACAUGCAUCUAUUGCAAUAGUUCAGGGAACCGUCACUAUACAUCAAUCUACAGCGAUGGUUUAAUCCCUAAUGCAACAAUUUAUUUUGCUACCUAUCUCAGUAGGUCUGAGAGGAAUAUGCGACGGUUGCAACCGUAGCCAUAGAUAUUUUAUUGCAACGUUUACAUAACCGUUGCUAAAUAACUGUUGCGAUAGGUCUAUUUUCUAGUAGUGUAGAUAUAGUACCGAACAAUCCUAUAAAUCAUUGUCUAUCAAAAUGUAAAAAAAAUAAGAAAAGAAUGGGAUAGAAGGGGACUUCGAGGCCUGCGGGCAGGUUUACCUUGAAGUCUCCAAAGCAACAAUACAGGGCACUAAUAUUGAGGCUGAUAGGAUGUACCUGGAUCUGCACAAAACAUGCGCAAAAGCAUAGUAUGAAUACACCACAACGGUACCCAGUAAGUGCCAAGCUUAACCUCAGUAGAGUAGUGAUGAGGUCGGGUCAAGUCCCUACUGGGAUAAUAAGAAACAAGAUAGAGAUAAUCUAAUAUAAUGAAAAUGACAGGGAAGUGAACAACAAAGAAAUUACGGGAAAUAACAACACGGAAUCAAUGAAAGCUAAUACAACACGAAAGAAAAAUAAGAAUUUUACAUGUUAAGGAAAACAAUAACCAAAUAAUACAGCAAUUAAAGAAUAUCAGCAGGGGCACUCCCCAGGUACCGCCUCAUAGUCCCAAAUCGUAAAAACAAAUCAUAAUAUUUCCUUAUAUCACUGCGGGACCCUUUAUAUUUGGGUUUUGAAAACUAUUUUUCCGAAAUAACAUCCCGUGUUUUAGCCCACCUUAUCAUACCGUAUGGUCUCUAGUAGUUCCCCUACUAGCCAUGCGUAUCAAGCUCACCUUAUCACACCGUAUGUGUUUCAACACCCAGACCUUAUACCACCGCAUGCGUAUCAAUAAUCACAACGGCAUGGAAAAAACCUCGUGCAAUAAUAACAACCACACGGCAGAAACCUUAUGCAACAAUAACAGCAGCACGACAGAAACCUCAUGCAAACAACCAAACAAUCACCUCAACAAUAACACAAAAGCCAAAACAGAACAACUGAAUAAAUAGUAUUCCAAGGAUGGCAAUUUCAAGUAAAGAAUUUCCAUAGUUAAGUAAUGAAUACGGAAAUCAAGAAAAGCAAGUAAUUCAACUAAACAUCUUACACAAGUAGCAAGUAGGAGAUGCGACAAGUAGACAUGUGAAAUUAGGCUAAACAUGAUGACUAUAACGUGCUAAAAUAGCUCAAUUAAGGCAUGAAAAGGAAACUAUGUAGCAAAAAUCGUAAUUUCAACAUUUAGCCCGUGUACGCACUCGCCACCUUACGUACACAACCUUCACAUAUCACAAGUGAUCACCAAAAUACCAAAUCCUAAGGGGAAUUUCCCCCACGCAAGGUUAGAAAAGUCAUUUACCUCAAACCAAGCUCAAUCAAUCAAUUAGAAGGUCUUUUUCUCGAUUUUCCAACUCCGGACGACUCGAAUCUAGCCGAAAUAAUUUCAUACUAUAAAUAUAACUAUAGGAAACUAAUUUAAAUAAUGAAAUAAUGAACUUAGCUAAGAAUUGAAAAAUCGCUCCAAAAAGUCGACUCGGGCCCACGUCUUAGAACCCGACCAAAAACAUAAAAUCCGAAUACUCAUUCGAUAUUGAGUCCAACCAUACAAGAAUUAUCCAAAUCCGACUUCAUGUAGCCUUUCAAAACCCAAAAACUUGGUCUAAGAACUUUUACACUUUUCCCCCAAUUUUAAACUACAAAACCAUAAUUAAAAGGUGUAAUUAACAGUAGAUUCAUGGGAAUUAAUAAAAAACGAGUCAAGAAUUCUUACCCAAAUGCUUCCUCUGAAAAUCUCUUAAAAUCUCGCCUCAAUCCGAGCUCUCAAAGUCCCAGAAUGAAAAUGAAAUCAAACCCUCAAUUUUUCCCUUUUUGCCCAGUCUUUCCGCACCUGCGACAACUUAGCCGCAUAUGCGGUGUCGCAGAAGCGACAAUCCUUCCGCUUCUGUGGUGAAUCACUGGAACCAAGCCCUUGCGCCUGCGGAAAAUGCUCCGCUUCUGCGCAAACGCAGAUGCGACCAUCUUUCCGCUCCUACGAUGAACCCUCGCUUCUGCGCUCUACCUCUCCGCAUCUGCGACCAUAUAGGUGCGGACAAUCCUUCACGCCUGCGACCACAUCCUUUCUCACUCCUGACCGCAUCUGCACUUCCCAGCUUGCACUUGCGAUGAAAGCUCCGCAAGUGCGAUUGCACCAGAAGACUCCAGCAACAGCACCCCUUUUAACUCUAAACUUGAACCGAUAAUCAUCUGAGCUUCACCCGAGGCCCCCGAGACCUCAAACAAAUAUACCAACAAGUCCUAAAACACGAUACGAACUUAGUCGAGCCUUCAAAUCACCUCAAACAAUAUUAAAAAUAAAAAUCGCACCACAAUUCAAGCCUAAUGAACUUAUAAACUUUUAACUUCUACAUUCGAUGCCGAAACCUAUCAAAUCACGUCCGAUUGACCUCAAUUUUUGCAUACAAGUCAUAAAUGACAUUACGGACUUACUCUAACUUGCGGAAUUUGAAUCCAACCCCGAUAUCCAAAAGUUCACUCCCGGUCAAACUUUCUAAAAUCUUCCAACUUUCCAACUUUCGCCAAUUUAUGCCGAAACAAUCUACGGACCUUCAAACCGACAUCCGGACAUGCUCCUAAGACCAAAAUCACCAUACAGAGCUAUUGGAACUAACAAAACUCCAUUCCGGAAUCGUCUUUACUCAAGUCAAACUAUGGUCAACUCCUACGACUUAAACUUCCAAUUUAGGGACUAUAUAUGUGUCCCAUUUCGCUCUGAAAACCAAAAAUCAAAGCUCCCGGCAAGUCAUAUAACUAUAGUAUAACACAAAGAAAGCAAUAAAUAGGGGGUCAGGGUUAAUACUCUCAAAACGAUCGGCCGGGUCGUUACACUAAGUGUACAUACAAAUUAUGUGAAUUAUCCAAUGUACAACAUUACAAGUUACCCGAAUUAUUAACUAAAUGCAAUUCACCCUAAAUGUUUGGCAGGUAGAUAAAUAUCAAAGCAAGCAAGCAAAUACGACAUCUAUCUACUAUUUUACUAUAUUUUACGUUUUGAGUAUAUCCGAGAAUGAGAAGUACGAAGCGGGGAUUCUAUGAGGGUUCAUCUUCAAUCCUUCUCCAAAUAUCAUCUUUAGAAAGCGAUUUCAUAUGAUAGUACCCCGCAGGGCAAAACAAGUGAAAUUAUUUGUAAAAUAUAAAGUAAACAAUAAACUAAUUUAUUCUGAAAUGAUUUUAUUUGAAAAUAUUUUUGGGAAAUUAUUUUUGGAAAUAUUUUUGGGAAAUUAUUUUUGGAAAUAGUUUGAAAA